RNAcentral lists this transfer RNA (61 nucleotides) under Anguilla anguilla (European eel). RNAcentral's name for it is "tRNA-Ser". Lineage: Eukaryota; Metazoa; Chordata; Actinopteri; Anguilliformes; Anguillidae. The record is from RNAcentral.
CAUAUGGUGGUGCAGUGGUUAGCACUGAAGGAGGUUCCGGGUUCGAGUCCCGGCUGGAUCC